AUAUAAAUUAGAAUGCUUGUAAAUUAUUUUAGUAUGAAGAAAUAUAAACUAAAAUUUCCCAAAUUCUUUUUUUUCUACAUUCAUAUUACUGUGGAAUCAUUUCAGUUCUCUAUAAUAAGAGGGAAUAAAAUAUCAGAGGUUAAUGAAACUUUAGAGAAGAUGAACACGGGAAAAGUGUGGCACUGUGGCCCUAAUGGAAUGUUCCUCAAGAGAAAAGGAGCUGUGCUAGAAAAAAAAUGGUUUAAUAAUGUAAGAAAUCAAAGAAUGUUAGAACAAAUUGAAGCACUUCCUAUAUUUAAGAACUCCAUAGAUAUUAAACCCAAGGAUUUAAGAAAUCCACAUUUCCGAGGAUUUAAUCCAA
RNAcentral lists this unclassified non-coding RNA (361 nucleotides) under Hevea brasiliensis (rubber tree). The record is from RNAcentral. Lineage: Eukaryota; Viridiplantae; Streptophyta; Magnoliopsida; Malpighiales; Euphorbiaceae.